This 354-nucleotide unclassified non-coding RNA is filed under the name Hevea brasiliensis (rubber tree). The record is from RNAcentral. Lineage: Eukaryota; Viridiplantae; Streptophyta; Magnoliopsida; Malpighiales; Euphorbiaceae.
CUUUUGUCCUUUGUUCAAAUAGGGUUAAGCACCCUUUUGCAUUUGAGAGUGGGAAGAGAUGCAAUGAGUUUAACAAUUAACUUUCUUUUUUCUUUUUAUAUAUAAAAGUAUAGGUGUGCUAACUGACAGCAUAUUACGAAUAUUUCAUUUUUGAAAUAUGCAAAGAAUGUUGAUUUUGAAUUUUUCAAAAGCUAAUAUGGUAAUGACCUAAUAUAAAGCCAUUGGAAAGCAAUAUUGAUCCAUCCAAAUUAUUAUAUGAAAAGCUAUGGAGUGAUUCAAUUCAUCGAGAUGUCCUGUUUUCUUGUAAUUAAUAAUGACAAUAAGAUAACAAUCAUAACAGUAAUACUGAGCAUG